GACGAACGCUGGCGGCGUGCUUAACACACGCGAGUCGAACGGUGACGGAGAGCUUGCUCUCCUGAUCAGUGGCGAACGGGUGAGUAACACGUGGGCAACCUGCCCAGACUUCGGGAUAACGCUUCGAAAGAGGUGCUAAUACCGAAUACGAACCUCCCUGGCAUCUGGGAGGUUGGAAAGUUUUUCGGUCUGGGAUGGGCCCGCGGCCUAUCAGCUUGUUGGUGAGGUAACGGCUCACCAAGGCGACGACGGGUAGCCGGCCUGAGAGGGCGACCGGCCACACUGGGACUGAGACACGGCCCAGACUCCUACGGGAGGCAGCAGUGGGGAAUAUUGCGCAAUGGGCGAAAGCCUGACGCAGCAACGCCGCGUGAGGGAUGACGGCCU
RNAcentral lists this ribosomal RNA (387 nucleotides) under uncultured bacterium. Its description in RNAcentral is "bacterial SSU rRNA". It matches the Rfam family "Bacterial small subunit ribosomal RNA", at positions 28 to 417 of the family's 1533-position model. The record is from RNAcentral.